CCUACGGGUGACUGCAGUGAGGAAUAUUGGUCAAUGGGCGGAAGCCUGAACCAGCCAAGUAGCGUGCAGGAUGACGGCCCUACGGGUUGUAAACUGCUUUUAUACGGGAAUAACGUGCCUUACGUGUAGGGCUUUGCAUGUACCGUAUGAAUAAGGACCGGCUAAUUCCGUGCCAGCAGCCGCGGUAAUACGGAAGGUCCGGGCGUUAUCCGGAGUUAUUGGGGUUAAAGGGAGCGUAGGGUGCAUGUUAAGCGUGCUGUGAAAUGUCCGGGCUCAACCCGGGCCUUGCAGCGGGAAAUGGCGUGCUUGAGUCCGCGAGAGGCAAGCGGAAUUCGUCGUGUAGCGGUGAAAUGCUUAGAUAUGACGAAGAACCCCGAUGGCGAAGGCAGCUUGCUGCAGCUGAACUGACGCUGAUGCUCGAAAGCGCGGGUAUCGAACAGGAUUAGAUACCCUAGUAGUC
Molecule: ribosomal RNA, 460 nt
Filed under: uncultured bacterium
Lineage: Bacteria
Description: partial 16S ribosomal RNA
Rfam family: Bacterial small subunit ribosomal RNA
Source: RNAcentral